Molecule: ribosomal RNA, 491 nt
Filed under: uncultured bacterium
Lineage: Bacteria
Description: partial 16S ribosomal RNA
Rfam family: Bacterial small subunit ribosomal RNA
Source: RNAcentral
AGUGAACGCUGGCGGUAGGCCUAACACAUGCAAGUCGAACGGCAGCACAGUAAGAGCUUGCUCUUACGGGUGGCGAGUGGCGGACGGGUGAGGAAUACAUCGGAAUCUACUUUUUCGUGGGGGAUAACGUAGGGAAACUUACGCUAAUACCGCAUACGACCUACGGGUGAAAGCAGGGGAUCCUCGGACCUUGCGCGAUUGAAUGAGCCGAUGUCGGAUUAGCUAGUUGGCGGGGUAAAGGCCCACCAAGGCGACGAUCCGUAGCUGGUCUGAGAGGAUGAUCAGCCACACUGGAACUGAGACACGGUCCAGACUCCUACGGGAGGCAGCAGUGGGGAAUAUUGGACAAUGGGCGCAAGCCUGAUCCAGCCAUACCGCGUGGGUGAAGAAGGCCUGCGGGUUGUAAAGCCCUUUUGUUGGGAAAGAAAAGCAGCAGGUUAAUACCCCGCUGUUCCGACGGUACCCAAAGAAUAAGCACCGGCUAACUUCGU